AUUGAACGCUGGCGGCAUGCCUUACACAUGCAAGUCGAACGGUAACAGGUCUUCGGAUGCUGACGAGUGGCGAACGGGUGAGUAAUACAUCGGAACGUGCCUAGUAGUGGGGGAUAACUACUCGAAAGAGUGGCUAAUACCGCAUGAGAUCUACGGAUGAAAGCAGGGGAUCGCAAGACCUUGUGCUACUAGAGCGGCCGAUGGCAGAUUAGGUAGUUGGUGGGAUAAAAGCUUACCAAGCCGACGAUCUGUAGCUGGUCGGGGAGGACGAUCAGCCACGCGGAGACUGAGACCCGGCCCAGACGCCUACGGGAGGCAGCAGUGGGGAAUUUUGGACAAUGGGCGAAAGCCUGAUCCAGCAAUGCCGCGUGCAGGAUGAAGGCCUUCGGGUUGUAAACUGCUUUUGUACGGAACGAAAAGCCCUGGGUUAAUACCCUGGGGUCAUGACGGUACCGUAAGAAUAAGCACCGGCUAACUACGUGCCAGCAGCCGCGGUAA
This 498-nucleotide ribosomal RNA is filed under the name uncultured bacterium. Its description in RNAcentral is "partial 16S ribosomal RNA". It matches the Rfam family "Bacterial small subunit ribosomal RNA", at positions 30 to 523 of the family's 1533-position model. The record is from RNAcentral.